This 1051-nucleotide long non-coding RNA is filed under the name Cairina moschata (Muscovy duck). RNAcentral's name for it is "domestica (muscovy Duck (domestic type)) lncRNA (ENSCMMG00000000960.1)". The record is from RNAcentral. Lineage: Eukaryota; Metazoa; Chordata; Aves; Anseriformes; Anatidae.
AAAAAAUAAAAGCUAAGAACACAGCAACUGUAGAUUAGGACCUGUUCCCAAAGUGGACCAGGUCAGAAAAUCUUUUCAGCAGGACCGACAGCAAGCUAUUUCAUUUAAAAUAGAGGGGCUGGCUGUGGUGCUGGGGGGGCUGUAUGGCUGAAGGGUGGUCCUGUGGUUGGGUCAGAAAUCAGCCACGUCCUUGGGGAUGCUUCUUGAUUCUCCCUCCAAAGCAUCCUCCUCUGUGACUGAGCUGGGGGUUUGGGUGAGGGCAGCAGUGUCACUGCUCCAGCUGUGAAAUAGGCUGGGGGGCUGCUGGGAAACCCCAGAAAAAUCACAAUGAUGGCCACUUGUCUAUUCUUUUAUUUUGAACAAGUGCAGCUAGAACAGGAGAUGGGACUUGAGAAUAGCCUGGAGAGCAUCUGUUUCCCUGCUAGCCUUCAGACUUCCAUGUUUAACUACCCUCCAUAAUUAGGGCUUCUUUUUAUGCAGUGCUGUGUUUCUUCUUCCAGCAGGAGAGGAAUGGAAGAGGAGAGAGGCAGGUAUGAAAAGCAAGCUUGGAGCUGGGAAGGUAAAGACCAAAGAGCUGGAAUGGGGCCUAUUCACUCCCUGGCAGCUUGAGAACUAUUUUGUGCAGGGAGAUGUGCCAUCACUAAUAACUUCAUCACCUGCCCGAGAGGCAUCGUCUUUGCCGUGUGGAUUAGAGGCUGAAAUGCAGCAUGGACUAAAUGACUUGCCCAAGGUCACGGAGGAAAUCGGUGCCUGAGCCAAGAACUUCAAAACCAGUAUUUCUGAAUCAUGACUGACAUCUUGGUGCCAGCCAGGGUUUGGUUAAGGUGGGGUCCUUGGGCAGAUGGAAAGAGUUAAAAUAAAAAAGAAUCAUGUUGACACUCUCUGAGAAACAGCACCUCUGGUUCAAAUGCUUCUUUCAUUCUCUGACCCUUCCUAUCUCCUCAGCUGUCAAUUCAGCUAAAGAGCUUUUCCCAGCGUGUUUACUUUGAAACAUUCCCUUUGCACAGACCUUUGGGGUCACGAAACCUUCAUGUUUGCUGCCUUGUGGGGU